GAACCAUUGGCCAUUCCUAUUGCUUUAUUUUGAAGUCCCUAUUAACUUUUACCAUUGGAAUGGGUUUAAGAGUGCUCAGAAGAGGGUGUCCUCUCUUGUGGAAGUUAUAUCUAAGGGGUAAUAUAAGUUGUAUAUCUUAGGAAUAGCUUGUAUUGACAUAGAUACUGGUCAUGUAAUAGGUGUUCAAAUAUCUGUGGAACAUUGAAGAAAUGAAUGAAUGAAUUGAAAACCAAUGGAGAAAAAUAUUCUCUGAGGACAGGUUAUCCUUUUAUGUUUAUGAUUGCUCUAAGUUUUUAAAGUUUAUAAAGUUCUGGAGUUUCCCCUAAAUGGAAAA
RNAcentral lists this long non-coding RNA (334 nucleotides) under Bos taurus (domestic cattle). RNAcentral's name for it is "long non-coding RNA NONBTAT026183". The record is from RNAcentral. Lineage: Eukaryota; Metazoa; Chordata; Mammalia; Artiodactyla; Bovidae.